Molecule: ribosomal RNA, 253 nt
Filed under: uncultured bacterium
Lineage: Bacteria
Description: partial 16S ribosomal RNA
Rfam family: Bacterial small subunit ribosomal RNA
Source: RNAcentral
UACGAAUGGUGCAAGCGUUGUUCGGAAUCAUUGGGCGUAAAGCGUGCGUAGGCGGUCUAGAAGGUCGGGUGUGAAAGCCCAGGGCUCAACCCUGGAACUGCGCUCGAAACCACUGGACUUGAGUCCGGAAGAGGGUUGCGGAAUGGUUAGUGUAGAGGUGAAAUUCGUAGAUAUUAGCCAGAACACCCGUGGCGAAGGCGGCAACCUGGAUCGAGACUGACGCUGAGGCACGAAAGCGUGGGGAGCAAACAGG